UACGGAGGAUCCGAGCGUUAUCCGGAUUUAUUGGGUUUAAAGGGUGCGCAGGCGGGAGAUUAAGUCGGCGGUGAAAUUUUGCAGCUCAACUGUAAAAGUGCCUUCGAAACUGGUUUCCUUGAGUGUAGAUGAAGUAGGCGGAAUUUGUGGUGUAGCGGUGAAAUGCAUAGAUAUCACGAGGAACUCCGAUUGCGCAGGCAGCUUACUAAACUACUACUGACGCUCAGGCACGAAGGCGUGGGGAUCAAACAGGAUUAGAUACCCCCGUAGUCC
RNAcentral lists this ribosomal RNA (273 nucleotides) under uncultured bacterium. Its description in RNAcentral is "partial 16S ribosomal RNA". It matches the Rfam family "Bacterial small subunit ribosomal RNA", at positions 524 to 796 of the family's 1533-position model. The record is from RNAcentral.